CUGUGAUCCUCCACUGAACAUUAACUUCCUGUAUUCUUCAAAUUCAUUGGGAAUGAAAAACAAAUUAGCAUUUCGAAAUAACAAAUCUGUCUGCUAACACUUUGGAUGUUCAGCUUUCUUAAUGGAAACAAAUGCAGAUUAUCUUGCAGCUUUCCAGCCUGGCUAGAGAAGAUUUCUUUGAAAUAGAGAGGUUAGAGUCCAGCUUACAGAAAACUGUAGAAGCUCAAAAAAGAUUGAUCAAGCUGCUGAGGAACAUGCCUCUGGCUUUCGGAGGCUGCAUUUCCACCAACUCCCAGGCCGGCCUUCGCUCCAGCUCCUCUUCCAGCACCUCUUCCAGCAGCUCCUCCACCCUGCUAUCCACCACAGAGCUUUGUACAGCCAGGCAGAAAGCGCAGGGGUAACAGCGAAAAGAGUAACAGAAAACUGGAACAAUUACCUCAAGUUUUUACAAGUUCAUUUUUCUAACUCGUCUCACGUCCAAUGCAAAUUUGGAAGAAAAAGAGACGUCCCUCUGAGAUGUAAAACUGUAAAGGAGCUUUAGAUAAGGCCUACAAAAAUGUAUGUGCAGAUAUCACAAGGCUCAACUCUCAAGAAAGUUUCUGCGUAGAAAGAAAGGAUUUAUUACCAAGCAUAUGUAGUUAUUUCCCAUUGAUUUCUAACCUUACCGGUUAUAAACAACACUUUAACCUGUAGUUUAGUGUACGUGUAAAACAGAGGGUGUCUGCUUAUAGAUGAAAGAGUUGUGAGCUAAAAGUGAAAUGUUUUGUUUCUGACUGAGGUGGUAUAUAUUUGCUAGCUAUGUUUUAACAAGAUUUAUCAAUAUAAAACUUUAUUUAAUUCAUAAAAGCAGGCACUGAAAAACAGACUAAAUAAUGUGUAAAGGUUUGUGAGUAAUGCCCAUAGUCAUGAUAUUUGGCAUUUAUUUUUAAAUUCUCAAUUAUCUUUGAUUCAAUUGAGCUUUUUCUAAAAUUAAAUCCUUGAGUCAACUGUACCUAGUUUUUAACUUCUUCUCACAUUAUCGGGGCCUAGCUCUUAACAUAUACUUUUGUUAGGAAAUCUUAAAAUAAGUAAAAUAAGUAAUGGAGCUAUCUUAAGAAGAUGUUUUGAAUUCUUAAGAUCAAUGACCAAGAUAAUAUCAGGUUAGUUGAAUAAUUUCUACCUGCUAUGGAUUGUAAGCUUCACUAACUGUAAUUUAAUUAUUUUAUUUUAUAAAUAAGCUACUGUUCUGCUGAAGAGCGCUGAAAUUCCAGACAAGCAAAGCAUGUUGCCUGCAAAAAUGAAAUGAAGUCUUCUGCAAUUUGAGAACUUUGCUUUUCAUCAGGGAUUAGCAAACAAUUGAGGGAGGCCAAGUGUAUUAUUUCAAAUAUAGAACAGUAUGGCAUAUCUGUGAAAGUUUGAUGUAAAAUCAUAAUGGAUGAAAAUGUUGCCCAUUUUACUCCAGACAGAUAAUCUUCAAAUAUAUGAAAAAAUAUUUGAAUGAGCAAACGUCUCACAAGAUCAGAGCUACCCCAAAAUGCAAUCCAUUUUACUGAAACAAUGAGAAAUAGGAGGUGGGACCUUUGUUACCCAUUAACUCUAUGCAAGCCCCAUUUAAGUAAUUUAAUAUCUUGAUUUCUUUGAAUAGAUAAUUCUCCCUUUUCAAAAAUAGGCUAAAGAUUUUAAUUAGCAAGAUGCUCCACAGGUGCAGUGGACCCUAAUGUAAUCUAUUUGCAGCCAAUGUACAAUGGUUAGGUGGGAGAUCUGUUAAUUUUACUCCUAAAAGUGAGUUUCUGCAGUGGUGACUGCCAAGACAGCAAUCCCAUUGAAUGUGUUUUUAUUUAGCAAGAGACACCGGGCUAUAUUCUCAAAGCUAUUUACUCUAGAUUGUCAUUAGCGCAUUCUUUUCAAAAAGGAAAAUCACACCCAAUAAAGUUUCCAAACCAUAAAAAAGCAAUUUAGACAUUUAACAGUAGGGCUUAUAAGUUGCCUGAAGUUGUGUUUUUUUAAAUAUAUAUUUUAGUUUUUCACUUCUUAAAAAUACAAUUUGGGUUAAAUAGCUGAAAAUCUAGCCCACAGUCUUUAAAAGGCGGACAGGAAAGGCAAACUUUAAACCAAAGAAACUGGCUUUAAAGGGCAGCAGAAAACAUAUACAUAAUGACAACUACUGGACAUUAAAAAUGCGUGUGUUUCUCUUUUGCUAUUUAAACUGUAGCACAGCCAUCUGGCUCCACCAGCAGGACAUAGUUAGUAGAAUAGAGUACCUAAUCACAAAUUAACAUUGAUCUCCAACUACAUUAAAAAAUAAAACAUGUAAGAUACAGUAUAUUUGCUGUCACUGCAUAGUUGUGUUUAUUUCCAUGUACACUUGUAAUAACAACUGUAUAGAGAGAAAUGCCUUAGGUGCUGCAAUAGAAAAGAAAGACACGUUUCAUUUUAAAAUGUUUAAAUAUGUUAAAAUAAUCAUAACUAUGAUUAUUUUAACAUAUUAAACUAAAAUAAUUAGCUAAUAUGGCCUGUUUUUUUUUACCUUGAUUCAGUGCUGGAAGACACUCAUUGUUAAGGAUGGUGAAUUGCCAGCAACCUUUAAAAAACUGCCAGUGUCUCUCUGAAACCAAUAUUAGAAUAUUAGGCUUGGGGCUUUUGCCUAGCAUGAGAUUAUCUUUACAUCACCCACCUGAGGCCUAGAGGGUAGUGUAAUAAACAAUCAGAUACAUAUCUGUCAGUUCUUUUUGGCAAAGUAGGGAUAAUAACAUAUCUCAGUGUAUAGGUCCACAGGGAUAAGUGUUCAGAAAGUGCCAUCCCAAAAACAUCCAGGGUUAGUUUCGUAGUUAUAGUUUUCACAAUGUUAUUUUAAGUUACAUAUUGUACCUUUUCCCUUUUUUUGUUGCAUAGCAACACAAUCGCUACUUUGACCUAAUUGUUCUUUUCUAUCCCAAUGUUCUUUUCUGCAGGCUGGCAGAAGUGUGGAUUCCUUCUACAGGUCCCUCAGACUCUUUGCGCUGCUCUCAGAUGCCGCUGACGGGAAUUUGAACUUGCAGUAUGAGCUGACAGAAAAAAUUGUUAUUUGUACAUAGGAUUAAAAAGGAACAUCUCGACCCCCAUUGUCUGAACUAUGAGGAACCAAUCUAAUAUCCAUUGUUGAUAUGCCAAACUCUUUCAAUUUUAGCCGUGUUUACCUCUUGAGGGCAAACACUGAGAACACUGCUGACCAGUGGAGCCCCUCAUCCAGCUCAAGGCAACAGAGUUCAUCCUUGCAGGGAGAGUCAAAGCCGUCACUCUUCUGCUCUCCCUACUCUGGUUGCCUCAAAGGAGUCAGCAGACACCUUGACCAAACACAGACCACAGGGUAAAGGGGUACCUUCGCUUACAAGAAGUAUGGAGAAGGUAUUCAAACACUCUCUUCCAACAACCAAGAAGUUACAGAGAAUGAUGUGAAACACCAGAUGGAAAAGGAAGACAGCCCACCCAGAUGAGGAUAAAGAGGGGGCCAAACCAUGUGGGUCUGUAAGGUCGAAAAAGCCCCCUGGGUCGACAUUGUCAAAACCUUUUAGAAUUUUCAAUGCUUGAGUCAGAUCACCGCGUAAUCUUCUUUGUCGAAGACUGAACAGAUUCAAUUCUUUGAGCCUGUCUGCAAACGACAUGCCUUUUAAACCCGGGAUAAUUCUGGUCGCUCUUCUUUACACUCUUUCUAGAGCAGCAAUAUCCAUUUUGUAACAAGGUGACCAGAACUGAACACAAUAUUCUAGAUGAGGUCUUACUAAUGCAUUGUAAAGUUUUAACAUUACUUCCCUUGAUUUAAAUUCAAAACUUUUCAAAAUAUAUCCAAGCAUCUUGUUGGCCUUUUUUAUAGCUUCCCCACAUUGUUUAGAUGAAGACAUCUCUGAGUCAACAUAAACGCCUAGAUCUAUUUCAUAGAUUCCUUCUUCAAUUUCAGUAUCUCCCAUAUGAUAUUUAUAAUGCACAUUUUUAUUGCCUGCGUGCAGUACCUUACACUUUUCUCUAUUAAAUGUCAUUUGCCAUAUGUCUGCCCAGUUCUGACAUUCCUGAUAUAUUCUUAAAAACCCUAACCCUGUGGCAAGGAAGUGGAACUGUUGCCACAUCUUGCCUUCGACAAACUGAUUGGAUAAAACAAGCUACAUUAAAAGUACCUGACUCCUGAUUGGCGCAGUUAGCGAAUCAAACUGAUACCUAACACAAUACCUAAUUUGCAUAGACCCCAAUGGCUGUUCAGUGUGCAUACCUGUUUAAAAAAAUAUUUUAUGAUUAAUAACACAUUUUUGUAGUAUAGGUGUCCAAAUAUUUUAAAAGUACCGUAUUAUUUCAACGUGGUGCCGCGGCCUUUAUUUUAAAUUGAUCAAAAUGACUGCGGCCCUUAAACGAGGGCGACGAUUAUAUGAGGGCGGCCUUUAUUAAUAAUACUAUGCUUAACAAACGCUGCAGUACUUUAUUAAACGAUUUAAGGCAUUUUAGAAACGGCGCCAUGAGAGGCUCCGAUCUGCAGCACUAUACUCAUGUGUUUUGAGGGCUUGAAUACAGUACAUUUACUGAGAGUUAAUGAGAGCCUAAUAAGUGGGAAUUGGGGGGUCAGGGGAGUACUGUACCAGCGAAUCAGGACUGUGUAUUGGUUGCUAUGGGGCGGGACAAGAAGAGGAGAGACAACGGUAGUUGAGUGUGAAUAAAAAAUAAAACUAAACCCCCUACAAGAAGCUAUCUUCAGCCAGCUUUCGGAUAGAACUUACAGUGACCGGCAAAGCUCUAAGUUCCUCAGAGUUAAGUUUUCACCAUCCAAGCUGACGACGAGGUAAACAGACCCUUGUUUUAUCCCCUGCUGUGUUGGCACUGAACUCUGCUGGAAAAAGGGAGGUGAAGGACUGCUGUGCUGUAAAUAGUUCUUCUUGGGGUGUCUGUCGGGUCUGUACUAUAAAAUAACUAAGGUGGGUGUACAUUAGUUUAUAUUGCAUGCUGGAUUAAGGUUGCAGUCUCUUUGGGGAUGUCAUGUACAUAGGCAGAGUUGCGCGUUUCUUUAUUUUUUGAGCAGGGGUAGAAAAAAAACCUUUACAUUUCUUUAUUGAGAGCUGCGUUUAUUCAAGGGCGGCGUCUAUUAAAAAGCUGGUAUCUGAGUGAGGCGUUAAUUCGAGGGCGGCAUUAAUUCGAAGUAAUACGGUAUUCAAUUUUCAGUUUUGUCAUGAACUAUUGGUUUUACUAGUGACAGGCCCACCAAGAGAGUGGGGAGGCCGCUGCCACGGACACGUUUCAUCUUACAUUUCAUGAAUCAAAAAUGGUUAUUAAAUCACCAAUCGAUUGAAUGUGUUCCCUGUUAAA
This is a long non-coding RNA of Acipenser ruthenus (sterlet), 5301 nucleotides long. RefSeq lists it as uncharacterized. The record is from RefSeq and is a predicted model, not a curated record. NCBI's taxonomy places the organism in Eukaryota, Metazoa, Chordata, Actinopteri, Acipenseriformes, Acipenseridae. The transcript is spliced from 6 exons.